Leptidea sinapis is the source of this 379-nucleotide long non-coding RNA. RefSeq lists it as uncharacterized. The transcript has 2 exons. The record is from RefSeq and is a predicted model, not a curated record. Lineage: Eukaryota; Metazoa; Arthropoda; Insecta; Lepidoptera; Pieridae.
GCCAGGUAUAAUCAGAAGUACUAUUAACAGUUGUAAACUAGACGAAUACAUCAUCACAAUGAAAGUUCUCGUGGUUUCGAUAUUAUGCGUGGUUGUGGCAGUUACUGCGUUCUCAGUCCAAAGAUGCCCCACGGACUGGGAAGAGGUUCAACUACUGCCUCAUAUGGACUGCAGCAAAUUUUUCAUCUGUGCUUUCGGGGAAGCCGUGGAAUUCCCUUGUCCCAACGGCACAUACUAUGACACUGCUAACUCGACAUGUAACUUUCGGCAAAAUGUAGAUUGCUCCGGAAGAAUCGUUGAUGCCAACUAAAUUGAAUAUUUUUCCUUAAGAACACUGUUAUAAGUACCUACCUGCAGUAAUAAAAUUAUUUUGAGCAUU